GACGAACGCUGGCGGCGUGCUUAACACAUGCAAGUCGAACGGAGAGGCCCUGCUUUUGUGGGGUGCUCGGGUGGCGAACGGGUGAGUAACACGUGAGUAACCUGCCCUUGACUUUGGGAUAACUUCAGGAAACUGGGGCUAAUACCGGAUAGGAGCUCCUGCUGCAUGGUGGGGGUUGGAAAGUUUCGGCGGUUGGGGAUGGACUCGCGGCUUAUCAGCUUGUUGGUGGGGUAGUGGCUUACCAAGGCUUUGACGGGUAGCCGGCCUGAGAGGGUGACCGGCCACAUUGGGACUGAGAUACGGCCCAGACUCCUACGGGAGGCAGCAGUGGGGAAUAUUGCACAAUGGGCGGAAGCCUGAUGCAGCAACGCCGCGUGCGGGAUGACGGCCUUCGGGUUGUAAACCGCUUUCGCCUGUGACGAAGCGUGAGUGACGGUAAUGGGUAAAGAAGCACCGGCUAACUACGUG
Molecule: ribosomal RNA, 468 nt
Filed under: uncultured bacterium
Lineage: Bacteria
Description: partial 16S ribosomal RNA
Rfam family: Bacterial small subunit ribosomal RNA
Source: RNAcentral